RNAcentral lists this ribosomal RNA (464 nucleotides) under uncultured bacterium. Its description in RNAcentral is "partial 16S ribosomal RNA". It matches the Rfam family "Bacterial small subunit ribosomal RNA", at positions 28 to 506 of the family's 1533-position model. The record is from RNAcentral.
GACGAACGCUGGCGGCGUGCUUAACACAUGCAAGUCGAACGGAAAGGCCCUGCUUGCCGGGUACUCGAGUGGCGAACGGGUGAGUAACACGUGGGUGAUCUGCCCUGCACUUCGGGAUAAGCUUGGGAAACUGGGUCUAAUACCGGAUAGGACCGCACUUUAGUGUGUGUGGUGGAAAGUUUUUUCGGUGUAGGAUGAGCUCGCGGCCUAUCAGCUUGUUGGUGGGGUAAUGGCCUACCAAGGCGGCGACGGGUAGCCGGCCUGAGAGGGUGUACGGCCACAUUGGGACUGAGAUACGGCCCAGACUCCUACGGGAGGCAGCAGUGGGGAAUAUUGCACAAUGGGCGCAAGCCUGAUGCAGCGACGCCGCGUGGGGGAUGAAGGCCUUCGGGUUGUAAACUCCUUUCGCUAGGGACGAAGCUUUUUGUGACGGUACCUAGAUAAGAAGCACCGGCUAACUACGU